UAUCUGUGUGGAUGCUUUGUGUUAACAUCCGACCAAGGCAUGCAAGAGCUGUGGCAUUUGAUUGCUUUUGUGUGAGUCCUUCAGCCCAAAUGGAGCAAGGUUCCCCACCCUGUGAGUCAACACCAAACUUAUUAACCUAGGCAGGAUGUACCUGGAUGAGUGAAAGCCUUUCGAUCCCCUGCUGAGCAUACAACUCGGAUGAUGAAGGAUGCAAUUGGGGGAUUGUCUCUUGUUAGAUUCGAAAUUUCUGGGUAUAAUUUAACAUACAAUACCCUGUUCUUCUCCAUUGACAAAUGCCUUCAAUCCACAUAAAAAGCAAGGUAUAAGAACAGUGUUCCAAUAAACUUAUAUUCAUCCAGAUUUAUCAUGAUAAACAACAAAAAAUUCUAGCAACUCAAGAGAAACAAUAACAAACCAAAGUUUAAAGCCCCAUAAAGGAUUUCAUCCAUGAUGGAUGGACGUUUAUCCAAAUUCCAAGGAUAAGAAACGAAACUAAUGGAUGAUCAAAACAUGGUAUAUAGUCAUUUAGUUUUGUUAUUUAUUAUUAACUUUGACUCUUUGUAAGAAAAAGAUGAAGAGAAAUCAAAGGAGACAGACCAAUUCCAGUUGCCGAUCUUGAAAGGAUCGGAUUUGCGGUAAGUGCAAAAGGCAAGAUUAUCUAUCCUCCAUUGAGCAAGACGAGCGGUGGUUUCGACUCUGUAAGCAGACUCGGUCAUCCUAAACAAAGCCAGGGACGCAGUGAUCUCAUGGAUGCAAUCAAAUAUACCUUCGAAAAAAUGGUCUCUUGACUUUCCCAGGUUUACUGUUACUAUAUCCCUCUCUCCACAUUAAAUACUUGAAUCAGCCAAAAACAAAACACAACACCCACUUUCUCCCUUCUGCCUGUAAACAAAAAACACUGCUGGUGGUGUCCGGUCUGGAAAUAUUAGAGACAGAGAUGAGAGAAGUGGCGAAGUGUAGUUUAAAUAUGGCAAGGGUUGGUGUUAAUUUAAUAUGGUGUUGAGCAGAGAGAGAGAGAGAGAGAGAGAGAGGAAGGGAAGAUUUGGUGAAAUGUUUGUUUCGAUUUGAGCUGAUAUUCAGGUGGGUGCGUGGGGUUAUUUAUUGGAGAAUUUGGAGUGGAGGGUCGUCCAUAGAUCGAGUCAUACACACAAAAACAAAAAGCUUUUCCCUAAGGUUUUUUUUUUUUUUUUUAGCACUGCUCUUCCUAUUUGUAUUUCAUUAAGGGGUUUGUGUUUAAUGGUUGGACUAAAUUUAUGGAGCUUUGAUUUCAAGCAAAGUAUCUAAUUCUAAUCUCUAAUACUUUGCCUUGUUUGAAUUUAUUGGGGUGAAGUAAAAUCUCGAACUCAAGUUUGUGUAUCAAAAAAUAAAUAAAACUCUUAUUCUUAUUUAAAUGUUUGAUUCGAUUCAUUUAGAUCUAGUGAGAGAAUUUGUAAGUCAUUCUAAUUAAUUCCUAUUCCACACUCAUUGGGCCAUUCAUGGAUUUGCUUGCACCCAAGUCAACUGCUUCUGUUGGCUUGCUUGCUUCUCUUUCAGGUUCUUUCCUUUUAAUGUAAAUGAAGCCAUCAGGCUAUGGAGAAAGAAGAAAAGAAAGGAAAAGGACAGGGUUUGAUUGCUUUU
Gossypium raimondii (Peruvian cotton) is the source of this 1617-nucleotide long non-coding RNA. RefSeq lists it as uncharacterized. NCBI's taxonomy places the organism in Eukaryota, Viridiplantae, Streptophyta, Magnoliopsida, Malvales, Malvaceae. The record is from RefSeq and is a predicted model, not a curated record. The transcript is spliced from 3 exons.